This 253-nucleotide ribosomal RNA is filed under the name uncultured bacterium. RNAcentral describes it as "partial 16S ribosomal RNA". It matches the Rfam family "Bacterial small subunit ribosomal RNA", at positions 524 to 776 of the family's 1533-position model. The record is from RNAcentral.
UACGAAGGGGGCUAGCGUUGCUCGGAAUUACUGGGCGUAGAGCGCACGUAGGCGGCUUUCUAAGUCGGGGGUGAAAUCCUGGAGCUCAACUCCAGAACUGCCUUCGAUACUGGAAAGCUCGAGUCCGGGAGAGGUGAGUGGAACUGCGAGUGUAGAGGUGAAAUUCGUAGAUAUUCGCAAGAACACCAGUGGCGAAGGCGGCUCACUGGCCCGGUACUGACGCUGAGGUGCGAAAGCGUGGGGAGCAAACAGG